UCCCUGGUAUCUCAGCAAGCAAAGAAACUGCCUGCAAUGCAGGAGUCACGGGAGAUGCAGGUUCGAUCCCUGCAUCGGGAA
This 81-nucleotide transfer RNA is filed under the name Bos taurus (domestic cattle). It matches the Rfam family "tRNA". From Rfam's summary of the family: Transfer RNA (tRNA) molecules are approximately 80 nucleotides in length. Their secondary structure includes four short double-helical elements and three loops (D, anti-codon, and T loops). The record is from Rfam by way of RNAcentral. RNAcentral also lists the same sequence under 1 other name. Lineage: Eukaryota; Metazoa; Chordata; Mammalia; Artiodactyla; Bovidae.